UUAAAACACUCGAGAAGUAUAAGCUCCUGAACUACAUAUAUGCUUUGAAAAUAGGUGCAACUUGAUUUGACAUUUUUCUGUGCUUAGGUUUAUCAGGAAAUAUUCUGAUUCCCACUCGGUGAAUGCUUCAAGGAUAUUUAUCCCGUAGGCAAAAGUAAUCACAAGCUUGGUCUAGCUAUGCUACAACUGCAUUCGCUGGCAUUAAAGGAAACCUUGGUACUGGGAUAACUCAAGAUCUGGGAACAUUAUUCCAGGCAUCCAGCUAUUGAUUUUAUCAGAUAUACUUGCCUCACUCUGUCUCAGAUCUAAUGUAUUUCGAAUUUACCUACUGGACUUGAUCAGAGGAGAUUGUGCAAAUUUGAGCUCUGUAGCUUCAGCUUCAAAUAUCUCCAGGGGCGUGGAGAGUUGCUUUAAUGCGACUUUUGAUGAGUUUGGAUCGAAGAAAAGAAGGCGGGCAUACUCCUCCUUCUCCUUCGCCUGAAACGUAUAAGAGUUUCCUCCUCUUGUUGGGCAAUGGUAGAUGUAUCGCAUUUCUUUUAGAAUGUAAUUCCCUUCCUGUUUGUUAUCAUUCAUGUAU
This is a long non-coding RNA of Salvia splendens (bonfire salvia), 577 nucleotides long. RefSeq lists it as uncharacterized. The transcript is spliced from 4 exons. Lineage: Eukaryota; Viridiplantae; Streptophyta; Magnoliopsida; Lamiales; Lamiaceae. The record is from RefSeq and is a predicted model, not a curated record.